AACGAACGCUGGCGGCAGGCUUAACACAUGCAAGUCGAGCGGAGCGAGGGUGCUUGCACCUUAGCUUAGCGGCGGACGGGUGAGUAAUGCUUAGGAGUCUGCCUAUUAGUGGGGGACAACAUUCCGAAAGGAAUGCUAAUACCGCAUACGCCCUACGGGGGAAAGCAGGGGAUCUUCGGACCUUGCGCUAAUAGAUGAGCCUAAGUCGGAUUAGCUAGUUGGUGGGGUAAAGGCCUACCAAGGCGACGAUCUGUAGCGGGUCUGAGAGGAUGGUCCGCCACACUGGGAAUGAGACACGGCCCAGACUCCUACGGGAGGCAGCAGUGGGGAAUUUUGGACAAUGGGCGGAAGCCUUAUCCAGCCAUGCCGCGGGUGUGAAGAAGGCCUUUUGGUUGUAAAGCACUUUAAGCGAAGAGGAGGCUACUUAGAUUAAUACUCUGGGAUAGUGGACGUUACUCGCAGAAUAAGCACCGGCUAACUCUGUGCCAGCAGCCGCGGUAA
This 501-nucleotide ribosomal RNA is filed under the name uncultured bacterium. Its description in RNAcentral is "partial 16S ribosomal RNA". It matches the Rfam family "Bacterial small subunit ribosomal RNA", at positions 29 to 523 of the family's 1533-position model. The record is from RNAcentral.